RNAcentral lists this RNase P RNA (357 nucleotides) under Lapidilactobacillus concavus DSM 17758. RNAcentral describes it as "Lactobacillus concavus DSM 17758 Bacterial RNase P class B". It matches the Rfam family "Bacterial RNase P class B". From Rfam's summary of the family: Ribonuclease P (RNase P) is a ubiquitous endoribonuclease, found in archaea, bacteria and eukarya as well as chloroplasts and mitochondria. Its best characterised activity is the generation of mature 5'-ends of tRNAs by cleaving the 5'-leader elements of precursor-tRNAs. Cellular RNase Ps are ribonucleoproteins. Lineage: Bacteria; Bacillati; Bacillota; Bacilli; Lactobacillales; Lactobacillaceae. The record is from Rfam by way of RNAcentral.
AAUUUCGAGUAAUCGCGGUCGGUCUUGAACCGGCUGAGGAAAGUCCACGCUCGCACAGGCUGCGAUGCCUGUAGUGUUCGCGCUUAGCCCAAUAAGCUAAGGUACUUCUUCGGAAGUAACGGCAGCCUAUUGACCUAACAUCUUUGGAUCAUGGUCAAGGCUUGAAGGUGCCACAGAGACGAAUCAUUUGCGAAAGUGAAUGAAUGGAACGGGUAAACCCCGCGAGCGAGCAACCCAAAUUUUGGUAGGGGAGUCCUACGGCGGCAAAUGAACCUAAAGUAGGAGCGGUAGCAGAUAGAUGAUUACUGAUGAUCGAGAUUGCCUAGUCUCGGUCGGAACAAAACGUGGCUUAUAGAA